AUUAAUUUACUUUGAUCAUAACAAAUUGAUUUUUUUUAUGUAGAUAUGAAUCCAUUGUUAAAAUUACAAGCUAAACAUCGAUCUCAAAAAUUUUGGAACAUCGAGGGACAUGAUAUGUAUUUAAAUACAUGUCGUGCCGAUACUGAAUUUUGGUUGCACAUACAGGAGCGUCCAUUGCAUCAUCGAAUCCUUCAAUAUUUAAGUUUUUGUGGAUUUAGAGGAAUUGUAGAAGUAGUAAACAUUCCUUACGAUGUUGGACUUAUAAGUGCGUUGGUUGAGAGGUGGCGCCCCGAAACUCACACAUUUCACUUGCGAAUUGGUGAGGCCACUAUUACAUUACAGGAUAUUGAAAUUAUGUUUGGAAUGGUUGUAGAUGGGAGUCCUAUACUUCUAGAAGGUUCUACCGAUUUAGGAAUCGUAGCUAGACGACAAAUGAUGCGUGACUUAACAGGAUGGGAAUCUCCUCUAGAUUGCUUUUCUAGAAUUAGAAGAAUACUUGUAUCUAAAUUAGCUGCAUAUGUAAAAGAGUUAGAUGAUAUUGCUGAUGAUACUCCCAAAAUUGAGGUGCAACAGAGAGUUAGGUUGUACCUUUUAUGGUUGUGCGGAGGUGCAUUAUUUCCAGACAAAUCCAAUUCUAAAAUAUCUUUGGACUAUUUAAUCGACUUGCAAGACUUAAAUGCAAUGUCGACAAAGGCUUGGGGCGCAGCUGCAUUGUCAUUUUUAUACUAUUCUUUAUGUCGUGCAUCCAUGUCUUCAUCUAGCGAUGUAUGUGGAUUUCUUGCCUUAGUUCAGGUAUGGGCAUGGAAGCGUAUUAUUCCACUUCAGCCAGCUCCGCACCCUCUGGGGGCAAACCAUCAUAAGGCCUCGGCUCCACUUGCACGUAAGUGGAGAUGAGUUUAUUUGGGAGCCCUAUUCAGAAGAAAUACACAAUGAAUUACCCGUAUGGUGCCAGAGGGGAAAACCUAUUUGGAUGGCUAAGGUGCCACUUAUUUGUGGAAUAGUUCGUGAGUGGCAUUUGGUUGAUCGUGUUGUUAGACAAUUUGGUUAUCUCCAACAUGUAUCUGGAUCGUGUACUCACUUUCACGAACAACAUUUUAAGCGUGAUAACCGAAAUAGAAUAACACAAGAAGUUUUAAAUAUGUAUAACGAAACAAAAAAUACGUGGGAUACACGCAUGUUAACCCCGUCAUAUAAACAAUCAAUUAGAGUACAUUCAUUGGUAUUGUACUUAUGCUCGCAUGUUAAUUGGAAAUCCAGAGCAUGUUGUUCAAAGAGGAUAUCAACACAUGGCAGGCAGACAUGAGGCGUUGGAUAUGGGACAUCAAACCAUUUAUCGGAUGGCUCAAUUGGUUUUACGUGAUUCAAGAGCAACUAGCGAGAUGUAUGAAUUUGCAUCAGAGGUUGCUCGUAUUUCUUCAGAAUCAAUGAAUUCUACCUAUCUAGGAACAUGAUUGAGCUUUGCUCCUACUUAUGCACCACCAACUCAAUCUACGGAAUCACCCCCAGUGCAAGUUCGCCAUCAGGGACGUCAAUUUGCAUCUACAGAUAGUACGCAUCAGGGUAAAAGAGGUGGUCGCAGAGCAGAUAGUAUGGCAGAUCGUAGCG
Molecule: RNA transcript, 1605 nt
Organism: Capsicum annuum
Lineage: Eukaryota; Viridiplantae; Streptophyta; Magnoliopsida; Solanales; Solanaceae
Gene name: protein MAIN-LIKE 2
Exons: 4
Source: RefSeq, a predicted model, not a curated record